AUUCUACUCCCUCCGUUGCACAAUACAUGCCUUCUAUUUGUCAAAAUAUAUAUGUAUCUAGACAUGUCUUAGUAUAUAGGUACAUCCAUUUUUGGACAAAUGGAAGUCAAGUAUUUUGUAACGGAGGGAGUACACA
Non-coding RNA from Triticum aestivum (bread wheat), 136 nucleotides. Lineage: Eukaryota; Viridiplantae; Streptophyta; Magnoliopsida; Poales; Poaceae. The record is from Rfam.